RNAcentral lists this long non-coding RNA (1112 nucleotides) under Anolis carolinensis (green anole). Its description in RNAcentral is "lncRNA (ENSACAG00000042208.1)". The record is from RNAcentral. Lineage: Eukaryota; Metazoa; Chordata; Lepidosauria; Squamata; Anolidae.
UCACAGCUAUAACUUUAAUCUAAAAUUGCAAUUUUAUUUAAGGUGUUCAACUUGCAUUAGUCACAAUGUCAAAGAGUUGCAAGCUUCACUUAAAAUUUAUCUUCUUAUUUCACACUUUUCUACUAUUGGAAACUUUAAUCUUCUUAAGGGUGCAUACAUUUUGGAAAAUGCAAAAUUAAAUAUUCCGAAUUAUAAGAUGUUAAGGGUCCACAUAGAUAUUUUAAAACUCUUGCCAUAAUUUCUGGGCCAAAGUAUGGGUAGAUGCAGGCUGAACAUAGCAGAGACCCACUGCAGUGCAAGAGAAGACGAACUCUCGAAGCAGAAACAGGAUUAACUUGUAACCAGAUCGGCUGAAAUGCCACCCAUCCUACCCCACAUGCCAGGGAAUACUUCUGAGGCAGCCCUUGUGCCUGCUAUGUUUCAUUCUGUCCUCAGCCACAAUCAUGUCAUGCCCAUGAGCUCAGCCUUGUAAUUGUUCAAAUAUAGAACAGCUGCAGCCAUAUGAGCUUCUGGCCUUGAGAACACUACAACCAAAAUCAGUCUAAAGUUUGCACUGGAUUUAGAGAUUAAAAACUAGUUUCAUGUGUUGUCCUUUUUCUUACGAUGACCUCUCAAAUUACAGUUUACAGUCUAAUUAAACUCUCCCCCAUCUUUUAAUAGGAAGUUCAAGAUGUCCUGGAAGAAUCAGCAAUAGUACAUGCAAGUAAACGAAGAACACAGUCUGAAUAGCUCAGUUGUCCCAUGGAAAGCAAAUGCAUCUUACUAUAAGCCACUGAUACAUAUACUGUGGAUAUAGGUGUAUUUUUGGCAUAAAUCCAGAGAUCGUAAUCUAAAGGUGGGAACCACUUGAUCCUUCAGAAGCUGCUAAACUGCAACUUUCAGCAGAUUUUUAAAGAUAACUAAUGAACUCUCUCUUACAUCCACCUUCUUGCUCCUCCCACCGAGGUAUGAAAGCAAGGCAUGAAAGCAGUUGUGGCUCAUUCCACACAGUUGUCUUACUGUGCAAUUGUCUGCUAGCCGAGUUGCUGUUCUGAGACUUAAAGCCCUGUUAGUUGCUGUUAGUGCUUCCUUUUUCACCCGACUCCAGAAGAUGCCUAAACAUCUGUAAAAGC